RNAcentral lists this ribosomal RNA (301 nucleotides) under uncultured bacterium. Its description in RNAcentral is "partial 16S ribosomal RNA". It matches the Rfam family "Bacterial small subunit ribosomal RNA", at positions 509 to 809 of the family's 1533-position model. The record is from RNAcentral.
CAGCCGCCACGGUAAUACAGAGGGUGCGAGCGUUAAUCGGAUUUACUGGGCGUAAAGCGUGCGUAGGCGGCUAAUUGAGUCGGAUGUGAAAUCCCCGAGCUUAACUUGGGAAUUGCAUUCGAUACUGGUUAGCUAGAGUGUGGGAGAGGAUGGUAGAAUUCCAGGUGUAGCGGUGAAAUGCGUAGAGAUCUGGAGGAAUACCGAUGGCGAAGGCAGCCAUCUGGCCUAACACUGACGCUGAGGUACGAAAGCAUGGGGAGCAAACAGGAUUAGAUACCCCGGUAGUCCCUGUCUCUUAUAU